Molecule: small RNA, 1602 nt
Filed under: Cryptococcus neoformans H99
Lineage: Eukaryota; Fungi; Basidiomycota; Tremellomycetes; Tremellales; Cryptococcaceae
Description: Cryptococcus neoformans var. grubii H99 hypothetical RNA
Source: RNAcentral
UAAAGCCCGUCUUGUGGCUCAAGGUUUCUGCCAGCAACCUGGUCUCAAUUAUGAGGCCACGUUCGCCCCCGCCAGCCGAUCUACCACCUUUCGACUUCUCAUGACACUCGCCGCGACAUACGACCUCGAGCUACACCAGGCAGACGUCGAGGGAGCAUACCUCAAUGGUGAUCUCGACCGCGAUAUUUUUAUGCGCGUUCCCAAAGGGUACACCCAUCAGAACCCUGGAACCACCGCACUUAAGCUCAUAAAACAAUUUACGGACUCAAGCAGUCCGGUCGUGAGCGGUGGAAAGUCUUAGGAGCUGCCCUGGAGGAAAUCGGAUUCAAGAGAUGCGAGAGCGAAUGGGGUCCAUACGUAUUCAACGGGCGGAACGGUCCAGAAGUAUUGCUGCUCGUUUACGUCGACGACCUCGUCAUAGCAGCGAAAAGUCUAGCCCAAGUCAAAGAUAUACUCGCAAAAUUAUCCACUCGUUGGACCCUCAGUCAUCUUGGUUCCAUCGAUCAUGUUCUAGGCAUGAAGAUCAAACUCGACCGAGCCAAACGCAUCAUUCAUGUCGCUCAAAUCUCCUGCAUUGAUACUCUCCUUGACCGUUUUCCCCGAUACAAGGCAAAUCUCGCGCGCUACGCGACCCUUCCGAAAAAGAUCGAGAAGUCCUCUGACACGGAAAGCCCUCUAUCCAUCCGCGUGUCAGCCCUAUCAAGCCCUUAUGGGAACGUUGCUUUGGUUAGCCGGAUCGACCCGACCCGACAUCGCCUUUAGUCUCCUUUCUGUCCCAAGCCAUUUCCGGCCCCACAGAAUAUCAUUGGCAGUUCUCGUCCGCGUCGUCGCUUAUCUUUCCCACGUCCGCCCCUCGGUGGAGGGAAGGAGAGGGGCCUACAUGUAUACUCCGACGCAGACUGGGCGGGAUGCUCAGACACCCGAAGAUCCACAACCGGUUACAUUGUCUACUUUCACGGCUCCCAGGUGAGCUGGUGUUCGCGCCGCCAGCGCACCGUAGCGCACUCCACCAUGGAAGCGGAGUAUAUUGCUGCAGCACAAGCCACUCGCGAGAUUAUCUGGCUUCAAGGUUUAUUGAAGGAAACCGGUCUGUCGCAGGUGGAUCCCACAACUCUACAUAUCGACAACUAGUCAGCCAUUUGCCUCUUCUACAACCCACUCUCCCACGAGAAGUCCAAACAUAUCGAUAUUCGAUAUCAUAUCAUUAGAGAGAGGGUCGAAAAUUUGGAGAUAAAACUGGUGUACAUCCCAUCCCGACUGAAAAGCAACGAGCAGAUGUGCCCGCUAAGGCUUUAGAUGGAGUAAAUCACGGAAAGGCGGUUAAGGCGUUGCGCCGUACCGGGGAGGGGACCGAAAAGGAGGAUUACGAGUAAGGGGAGAAUAGGAGAAACACCGGAUGAAAGGUAUAACCAUGGACGGACGGUUUGUUAAGAUGGGCGGCGUUAGAGGAGUGUCGAAAUGUGCCUACAUAAUGUAACCCCCCCUUCACUUAACAUAACAUAGAAAUUGCCAUAGGUUUCUUUCGAUGCCUGGGGUGCAUAGUUGUUUCUGCAUACUCUCUAUAGCUCUCAAAUUAAGCAAUUUCCAACAUCGUGCUUCUUC